RNAcentral lists this ribosomal RNA (497 nucleotides) under uncultured bacterium. Its description in RNAcentral is "partial 16S ribosomal RNA". It matches the Rfam family "Bacterial small subunit ribosomal RNA", at positions 28 to 507 of the family's 1533-position model. The record is from RNAcentral.
GAUGAACGCUGGCGGCGUGCCUAAUACAUGCAAGUCGAGCGAACAGAUGAGGAGCUUGCUCCUCUGACGUUAGCGGCGGACGGGUGAGUAACACGUGGAUAACCUACCUAUAAGACUGGGAUAACUUCGGGAAACCGGAGCUAAUACCGGAUAAUAUAUUGAGCCGCAUGGUUCAAUAGUGAAAGACGGUUUUGCUGUCACUUAUAGAUGGAUCCGCGCCGCAUUAGCUAGUUGGUAAGGUAACGGCUUACCAAGGCAACGAUGCGUAGCCGACCUGAGAGGAUGAUCAGUCAAACUGGAACUGAGACACGGUACAGACGCCGACGGGAGGCAGCAGUGGGGAGGAUUGGAAAAGGGGCGAAAGCCUGAUACAGCCAUGCCGCGUGUGUGAAGAAGGUCUUCGGAUUGUAAAGCACUUUAAGUUGGGAGGAAGGGCAGUAAGCUAAUACCUUGCUGUUUUGACGUGAGCAAAAGAAUAAGCACCGGCUAACUUCGUG